UGAUUUCUUGAAUCUUGUAGACAAAGUAAU
Molecule: non-coding RNA, 30 nt
Filed under: Mus musculus (house mouse)
Lineage: Eukaryota; Metazoa; Chordata; Mammalia; Rodentia; Muridae
Source: RNAcentral